GCUUACCGGCCACACCACCCUGAGCGCGCCCGAUCUUCGUCUGAUCUCGGAAGCUAAGCAGGGUCGGGCCUGGUUAGUACUUGGAUGGGAGACCGCCUGGGAAUACCAGGUGCGGUAAGCU
This 121-nucleotide ribosomal RNA is filed under the name Lates calcarifer (barramundi perch). The record is from RNAcentral. Lineage: Eukaryota; Metazoa; Chordata; Actinopteri; Centropomidae.